RNAcentral lists this ribosomal RNA (499 nucleotides) under uncultured bacterium. RNAcentral's name for it is "partial 16S ribosomal RNA". It matches the Rfam family "Bacterial small subunit ribosomal RNA", at positions 28 to 507 of the family's 1533-position model. The record is from RNAcentral.
GACGAACGCUUUCCUCGUGCCUCCUCCCUGCACGUCGAGCGGACUUUCAAGAAGCUUGCUUUUUGAAAGUUAGCGGCGGACGGGUGAGUAACACGUGGGCAACCUGCCUGCAAGACGGGGAUAACUCCGGGAAACCGGGGCUAAUACCGGAUAAUAUCUUCCUUCGCAUGAAGGAAGGUUGAAAGGCGGCGCAAGCUGCCGCUUGCAGAUGGGCCCGCGGCGCAUUAGCUAGUUGGUGAGGUAACGGCUCACCAAGGCGACGAUGCGUAGCCGACCUGAGAGGGUGAGCGGCCACACUGGGACUGAGACACGGCCCAGACUCCUACGGGAGGCAGCAGGAGGGAAUCUUCCGCAAUGGACGAAAGUCUGACGGAGCAACGCCGCGUGAGCGAAGAAGGUCUUCGGAUCGGAAAGCUCUGUUGUCAGGGAAGAACAAGUACCGUUCGAACAGGGCGGUACCUUGACGGUACCUGACCAGAAAGCCACGGCUAACUACGUG